CCCUGUGCCCCGCCUACGCUGUACAUCGUGGAAUGGCAGCGGUCUGAGCGACCUCAAACGGGGCUGGUUGGCCCGACUCCUAUGCGAAUCCUCGGUACAAAUCUGUCUUCCGCAAGAGAAGCGUUUACAUCCCCACAGAUCUGCACGGCACGUGGUCCCCCGGGGUUUUCGGCGCCCUGGCGUGGCAAGCUCGGGGGGGGGUGGCGGCGGUGGCGCCCCAGUGCGCAUACGAGGGGGCCGGCGUAUGGGCGUGCCCCCUAUUCCAAAGGACGAAAUUGCAGCAGCGGCCGCCUGGCUUUGCUGCGGCGACCCCGCUGGGCGGAUGUAGCGGACGUCCGGCUACAUACUCGGGGGCGCCCUUGCCACGCUGGAAGCCCCGGACCGAAUGCAAAGCGCUGUGGCGCCCGGUCCCCGCGUUGCCUGGGGUGGGGCGGGGAAAACGACUCGGCCGGGCCAGAACCACCCCGCGCGGGCUAUCCGGUGACGCGCGCCUGGCAUGGGCAAACGGUGGGGACACCCCCGCGGCACAGCGCAGGCGGAGCCACGGGGACGGCGCCGCGGCACAGCGCAGGCGGAGCCACGGGGACGGCGCCGCGGCACCGGGCGACCACCGCACGGGCACGUUCGCUGCCAGCAACGACUGACACCCCCAUGGCGCCCUUUCCGAAAAUUUAACGGAAGACCGCACCGCGCCCGCAUCGGCGAACCGACCCGCAAAACGCCGUGCCCACCGCAGCGGCGAGGAAGCGAAGACGCGCGAGCAUCAGAGUGCCGCACGGACCCCGAGCACCAAGACAACUCGAAAACGCGCCAUGGAGGGAAGCGAAAUCUCCCACGCAGCCACACCCACCGCAAGACCGCAGCACCACCACAGACACACGCACACAACCACAAAGUAUAACCGAAGUAUGGAGCAAUGUUGGCAUCUGCUUGCGGCAGCCGCCGGGAAUGCCGCCCCACCCGGCACACCCGCUUAUAGACGAUUGCGGGGGUCAAAACUGGCGCGACGGGCAGCCGCUCGUGGGAGGGUGCCCUGCAACGCCCUCGCCCUCGGCCAUGGGCGUGCGUGCGGGCCGCCCGUGCGCCCGCGCGCUGCUCACACCAGCGGCGGGACAAGGUAACACCCACCCCGGCGUGGAAGAGCAGGCAAACAUCUUGACAAAGAUGCGCCAGCGGGCGCCGGCGCGACAUCCCGCCGCCCCCCCCCCCUCCCCACCGUUCCUGCGGCACUGACCCGUGGUCUGCGCAACCCACAUGAGUAACGGACCUCGCGACGACUGCGCGACCAUCUGGGAGACAAGCUCCAGCCACGGCAGCCUGGCUUCCGUCCCCGCCGCUCCGCUGCAGACCGCGCGGGCUUGCUCUCCCGCACGGCGGCCCAGCACCAGCCAGGCGCCACGAUAGGGGCGGCGUUUGUGGACUCGACGCUCACGCCUUUGGCUCGGUUGGUCGCGGCACUGAAGAAGUUCGGCUUAGACCCACACCAUGCUGUGGGAUGCCGCGGCGGAGGGAAAAACAUGGCAUGCAUGCCGAGCGCAGGGUCUGGGAAGGCCCUGGCCUGCGGCUGGCCGGCUUCCUCGCUGAGCUGAUCCGGCAUGCGCCUGCGCCACCGCCUGGUUACCCGCACGACGGGCGCCACCGCUUCCGCCCUCGGUCAGGGGCGUGGGUGUGGCCUGCGUGGGUCGGGGCGUGCGGCCCGCCGGGUGUCCGUGUGGCGCUGAUCGCGCGGCGCGUAUCGGAAGAAGGGACGAGGACGGGCAAGAAGGGCUUGCUAGCCGCAUGACCCCAUUCGACUGCCGACGGCUCGCUCUGGUCGACCAGAGUUUAGCUGCAGUGCGACCGAGGCAGGUGAGCCGUGGCUGUGUGUUUGCGUGUAUAUGUUCUGAUUUGUUCGCGGGUGGAGUUAUGGGCACGUUGCUGUGCAGCGGAAGAAAAGGCGAAAAGACAUACGAUGCCGGGCGUGACAGUGUUGCGUGUGUGUGUCUUGUGCGGUAUUCCAUCUGUGUAAGGUACGCUGCCUAUCAUUUUCGCUGUCGUUGCGUUUCUUUCGCCUCAUCUGUAUCAUUGUUGCGGUAGUGCAUGUUAUCUCGAAUGUGUCUGUGUGUGUCGAUGUGGAGAUGAGGUGUCAGGGUGCGCAAGCAGGGAUUAAGUGAAGGUAUGCGUGGCUGCAAGCAUCUCUAUCUGUGUGUGCGUUUCCGCAACAUAGCAGGUGAGAGGCAGCGCAUCGAACAUCAAAGAGAUCAACCGUCGCAUGCGCAUGAACGUGGAGAAGGAAGUCAGGGUAAGGGCGAGACAGGUCGAACCUAAAGGAGGUCCGUUUGUACACAAAACCUCCUCUCCCCAACGUAUCCUACGUCUGUACGUGCGUGCUUAGGUGUGUACGAAGGCAUUCCACCAACACCAUAUUCCAUCUGCACGGUCAUCUCUACGCUCUUCACUUUUCCUUGUCUCCUUCCCAAUCUCGCGACCGCCAACCUCUAUUUCUCUUCGCCUUUGAUGGCGGUGAUGUACUCUCUCUCUCUCUGAGUCUGCCCACGUAUGCGCACGCGUGUGUGUGCGCGCGUGCCUAUGUCUGUUUGUGCAUGUGUGUGGCGGGU
Molecule: unclassified non-coding RNA, 2597 nt
Filed under: Leishmania donovani
Lineage: Eukaryota; Euglenozoa; Kinetoplastea; Trypanosomatida; Trypanosomatidae
Description: gene:unknown
Source: RNAcentral